UGGGAGUGCUCGAAAGAGAACCUGCACACAGGUGCUGCAUGGCUGUCGUCAGCUCGUGUCGUGAGAUGUUGGGUUAAGUCCCGCAACGAGCGCAACCCUUGUCAUUAGUUGCUACGAAAGAGCACUCUAAUGAGACUGCCGGUGACAAACCGGAGGAAGGUGGGGAUGACGUCAAGUCCUCAUGGCCCUUAUGGGUAGGGCUUCACACGUCAUACAAUGGUACAUACAGAGGGCCGCCAACCCGCGAGGGGGAGCUAAUCCCAGAAAGUGUAUCGUAGUCCGGAUUGUAGUCUGCAACUCGACUGCAUGAAGUUGGAAUCGCUAGUAAUCGCGGAUCAGCAUGUCGCGGUGAAUACGUUCCCGGGUCUUGUACACACCGCCCGUCACACCAUGGGAGCGGGUUUUACCAGAAGUAGGUAGCUUAACCG
This 428-nucleotide ribosomal RNA is filed under the name Pseudoduganella buxea. RNAcentral's name for it is "bacterial SSU rRNA". It matches the Rfam family "Bacterial small subunit ribosomal RNA", at positions 1009 to 1441 of the family's 1533-position model. The record is from RNAcentral. Lineage: Bacteria; Pseudomonadati; Pseudomonadota; Betaproteobacteria; Burkholderiales; Oxalobacteraceae.